GUGGGGAAUCUUGCGCAAUGGGCGAAAGCCUGACGCAGCCAUGCCGCGUGAAUGAUGAAGGUCUUAGGAUUGUAAAAUUCUUUCACCGGGGACGAUAAUGACGGUACCCGGAGAAGAAGCCCCGGCUAACUCCGUGCCAGCAGCCGCGGUAAUACGGAGGGGGCUAGCGUUGCUCGGAAUUACUGGGCGUAAAGGGCGCGUAGGCGGAUAUUUAAGUCGGGGGUGAAAGCCCGGGGCUCAACCUCGGAAUAGCCUUCGAUACUGGAUAUCUUGAGUACGGGAGAGGUGUGUGGAACUCCGAGUGUAGAGGUGAAAUUCGUAGAUAUUCGGAAGAACACCAGUGGCGAAGGCGACACACUGGCCCGUUACUGACGCUGAGGCGCGAAAGCGUGGGGAGCAAACAGGAUUAGAAACCCCGGUAGUCC
This 425-nucleotide ribosomal RNA is filed under the name uncultured bacterium. RNAcentral's name for it is "partial 16S ribosomal RNA". It matches the Rfam family "Bacterial small subunit ribosomal RNA", at positions 354 to 796 of the family's 1533-position model. The record is from RNAcentral.